Molecule: transfer RNA, 60 nt
Filed under: Acizzia sasakii
Lineage: Eukaryota; Metazoa; Arthropoda; Insecta; Hemiptera; Psyllidae
Description: tRNA-Leu
Source: RNAcentral
AUGUGUCAGAAAUUAAUGUGUUAAAUUUAAGAUUUAAAAAUGAAUUAGAAUUCCUUUAGU